UAAUAAGUGUUUUAUGGCACUUUUUAAAUCCAUAUCCACCUUGUGUGCAAUGUCAGUCGAUCUUCUUCAUGGAGAUCGACCAAACAUCAACCUUUAUCUUUUAACUCUUUGUCUGAAAAAUAUUAUGAAUAUAACAAUUCAAAAUA
Molecule: unclassified non-coding RNA, 146 nt
Filed under: soil metagenome
Description: partial internal transcribed spacer 1
Source: RNAcentral